This 250-nucleotide ribosomal RNA is filed under the name uncultured bacterium. RNAcentral describes it as "partial 16S ribosomal RNA". It matches the Rfam family "Bacterial small subunit ribosomal RNA", at positions 524 to 773 of the family's 1533-position model. The record is from RNAcentral.
UACGUAGGUGGCAAGCGUUAUCCGGAAUUAUUGGGCGUAAAGCGCGCGCAGGCGGUUCCUUAAGUCUGGUGUGAAAUCUUGCGGCUCAACCGCAAGCGGUCAUUGGAAACUGGGGAACUUGAGUGCAGAAGAGGAGAGUGGAAUUCCACGUGUAGCGGUGAAAUGCGUAGAGAUGUGGAGGAACACCAGUGGCGAAGGCGACUCUCUGGUCUGUAACUGACGCUGAGGCGCGAAAGCGUGGGGAGCAAAC